UUAUGGUCAUUGUUCAUCAUCCUGUCACUGUGCACCCCCAAAAAGAGUCUGGUAUCAUCCUUUUUGCAUCUACCUUUGAUAUAUUUGUAUGCAUUAAUGAGAUCUUUUCUUAAUCUUUGGACUGAACAGACCAGCUCCCACAGUCUCUCCUCAUAAAAGAGGUGCUCCAGACCCCUCGUCAUCUUGGUGGAAUGGUUCCACUGGGCUACAGGCAAGUUGGGGGUGGCUGCUGGUGAGUCUGGGGGAGGCCACUAAAUUCACACAGGAUGCUGGCACUGGCCAGGAUUCAUCAGGCUUCUUCAGGGAGAGAAGAGCCACCAGCACUGGGAUUAUUUUAUGGUGACAGAGGGAUGGGUGCCAGUAACUGAAACCCAAGCUCUCUGAUCAUUACAGGUACAACGUGAAAUUGUACAUCAAAAUCUUUAUCAUCAAUCAGGAUGUCCAGAACCACUCUUUGAGUUUGCUGUUACUGAAGUCUCAUUGAACUACGUGCGUGAUGAGGAGACCGGUAAAGGGAGACUGCAAAAUCCAUGCCCUCCUUUGAGAGGCCAAAGAAGGAGGCAUAGCAAGGUAAUUUGGGACAGAGUCAAACAAGUCCACUAUUGUUUUGUUUUGGUUUUUUUUUUUUUCUUUUGUGUUGCUUCAGCAGGUGAAAGGUACCUUCUUUAUACAAAUGAUGUAAUGUGGAGAUGUCCUUAGCACAUGUACCGUAAUGCAUGUGCUGUAGGGUUGGGGGAAAUGAGAUCCUGUGUUUGCUUUUAUAUCCAAAAUCUGCUCUGUUAAGUUGCCAGGUUCAUGACUAGUUUCCUUGAAUGCAGAAGCAUUUCUGUUUUGCAGGUGUUUUCCUAAAAUUAUGCUUCAUUGUAAAGAACAGGUCUUAUCCUGUUUGUAUUUUUAAAUUCCUACAUUUGCUGGUGUAAUCACAUAAGCAAUUAAUAAUAGCCAAACAGUUAACAGUAAAACAAGAUGUUUUUGAUUUAAGUUGUCGAAGAGUCCUUUGCUGAGCCAUGCAAAACACUUCAAUUGUGUGAUCGUUUUAAUCAUUGCUAAUGAAGCUGACACACCCAUGAUGUUGUUUUUGGCUUUGAUACCUAAAGGACUUAGUGAAGCGGCUGGAGGAUUUGGUUGUGUUCCACAUCUCACAGUGUCAUGGGAUGCUGGGACACUAGUUGCUUCAGAGUAGCAAGGGAGAAUCAGCAUUGGAAUCAUCAGUGUUCAGGUUUCUUUUAGCUUCUCACUUCUUUUCCUCAAUGCAGCAGCAGCAGACUGUCAUAAUUCAGUCUGUGCAGAAAAAAAGCAAUACUAAAAUUGGCUUGAUCUCCAUUUUUCAAGUAUGUAUCUGAGGAAAAACAGGUGAUACUUUAGGGCUCUU
Molecule: long non-coding RNA, 1372 nt
Filed under: Cyanistes caeruleus (blue tit)
Lineage: Eukaryota; Metazoa; Chordata; Aves; Passeriformes; Paridae
Description: lncRNA (ENSCCEG00000013755.1)
Source: RNAcentral